RNAcentral lists this ribosomal RNA (440 nucleotides) under uncultured bacterium. Its description in RNAcentral is "partial 16S ribosomal RNA". It matches the Rfam family "Bacterial small subunit ribosomal RNA", at positions 338 to 795 of the family's 1533-position model. The record is from RNAcentral.
CCUACGGGUGACAGCAGUGGGGGAUAUUGCACAAUGGGGGAAACCCUGAUGCAGCGACGCCGCGUGUGGGAAGACGGUCCUCUGGAUUGUAAACCACUGUCCCCAGGGACGAAGAUGACGGUACCUGGGGAGGAGGCUCCGGCUAACUACGUGCAAGCGGCCGCGGUAAUAGGUAGGGAGCGAGCGUUGUCCGGAAUUACUGGGUGAAAGGGGAGCGUAGGCGGGGAUGCAAGUUGGGUGUCAAAACUACCGGCUAAACUGGUAGUCGCACUCAAAACUGCGGCUCUUGAGUGAAGUAGGGGCAGGCGGAAUUCCUAGUGUAGCGGGGAAAUGCGUAGAUAUUAGGAGGAACACCAGUGGCGAAGGCGGCCUGCUGGGCUUUUACUGACGCUGAGGCUCGAAAGUGUGGGGAGCAAACAGGAUUAGAUACCCCUGUAGUC